RNAcentral lists this ribosomal RNA (1295 nucleotides) under Acanthogyrus kashmirensis. RNAcentral describes it as "SSU rRNA". It matches the Rfam family "Eukaryotic small subunit ribosomal RNA", at positions 504 to 1779 of the family's 1831-position model. Lineage: Eukaryota; Metazoa; Acanthocephala; Eoacanthocephala; Gyracanthocephala; Quadrigyridae. The record is from RNAcentral.
UCGGCAUUGGAUGAGAACAAUCAAAAUCCUUUAUCGAGGAUCGAUUGGAGGGCAAGUUCUGGUGCCAGCAGCCGCGGUAAUUCCAGCUCGAAUAGCGUAUGUUAAAUUUGCUGCGGUUAAAAAGCUCGUAGUUGGGUGUCAGAAGCUGAACUGGGCGCUGCCAUGCCAUUGUGUAUGUGUAGCAUUGCUCUAGUUUCACUUCUUAAAUGUCACCGUUCCUGCGUCGCGGAAGCCCAAUUGGUUUUGGGUGGCGCAUAAAGGAAGGUGUACAAAACUACUUUGAGAAAAUUAGCGUGCUUAACGCAGGCGCUCUUGCUUGUAUACUGUUGCAUGGAAUAAUGAGAUAGGACCUCGGUUCUGUUUCGUUGGUUUCCGGAAGCCGAGGUAAUGAUUGAUAGGGACAAACGGGGGCAUUCGUAUUGUGGUGUUAGAGGUGAAAUUCGAUGAUCACCGCAAGACGAACAACUGCGAAAGCAUUUGCCAAGAAUGUUUUCAUUAAUCAAGAACGAAAGUUAGAGUUUCGAAGACGAUUAGAUACCGUCCUAGUUCUAACUAUAAACUAUGCCAACUGGGCAUCUGGCGCUUGCAAGUAAGCAUCGCCAGGCACCCCGCGGGAAACCAAAGUUAUUGGGUUCCGGGGGGAGUAUGGUUGCAAAAUCGAAACUUAAAGGAAUUGACGGAGGGGCACACCAGAAGUGGAGCCUGCGGCUCAAUUUGACUCAACGCACGAAAACUUACUCGGUCCGAACACCGUGAGGAUUGACAGGUUGACAGCUCUUUCUUGAUUCGGUGGGUGGUGGUGCAUGGCCGUUCGUAGUUGGUGGAGUGAUUUGUCUGGUUUAUUCCGAUAACGAACGAGACUCUAGCCUAUUAAUUAGUAAGGCGGGCACGCCUUCAAAAUAUUGUUGACUGGUAACGCCGCUCAUAUACUUCUUAGAGGGACAAGUGUCGUGAGGCACUCGAAGUUGAGCAAUAACAGGUCUGUGAUGCCCUUAGAUGUUCGGGGCUGCACGCGCGCUACAAUGGAGGCUGCAAAGCGCAUUCCUGUUUCGAAAGAAAUGGGGAAUCAAAAAUAGCCUUCACGAUUGGGAUCGGAGAUUGUAAUUAUUCUUCGUGAAAGAGGAAUUCCUAGUAAACGCGAAUCAUUAUUUCGCGUUGACUAAGUCCCUGCCCUUUGUACACACCGCCCGUCGCUACUACCGAUCGAAUGGUUUAGUGAGGUUUUCGGAUGGGUUGCAUGGAGCCACAAGCUCCACUGCAUACUUCAAAAGUUGACCGAACUAACCAUUUAGAGA